Molecule: ribosomal RNA, 1520 nt
Filed under: Escherichia coli 1-182-04_S3_C1
Lineage: Bacteria; Pseudomonadati; Pseudomonadota; Gammaproteobacteria; Enterobacterales; Enterobacteriaceae
Description: bacterial SSU rRNA
Rfam family: Bacterial small subunit ribosomal RNA
Source: RNAcentral
GAGUUUGAUCAUGGCUCAGAUUGAACGCUGGCGGCAGGCCUAACACAUGCAAGUCGAACGGUAACAGGAAGCAGCUUGCUGCUUUGCUGACGAGUGGCGGACGGGUGAGUAAUGUCUGGGAAACUGCCUGAUGGAGGGGGAUAACUACUGGAAACGGUAGCUAAUACCGCAUAACGUCGCAAGACCAAAGAGGGGGACCUUCGGGCCUCUUGCCAUCGGAUGUGCCCAGAUGGGAUUAGCUUGUAGGUGGGGUAACGGCUCACCAAGGCGACGAUCCCUAGCUGGUCUGAGAGGAUGACCAGCCACACUGGAACUGAGACACGGUCCAGACUCCUACGGGAGGCAGCAGUGGGGAAUAUUGCACAAUGGGCGCAAGCCUGAUGCAGCCAUGCCGCGUGUAUGAAGAAGGCCUUCGGGUUGUAAAGUACUUUCAGCGGGGAGGAAGGGAGUAAAGUUAAUACCUUUGCUCAUUGACGUUACCCGCAGAAGAAGCACCGGCUAACUCCGUGCCAGCAGCCGCGGUAAUACGGAGGGUGCAAGCGUUAAUCGGAAUUACUGGGCGUAAAGCGCACGCAGGCGGUUUGUUAAGUCAGAUGUGAAAUCCCCGGGCUCAACCUGGGAACUGCAUCUGAUACUGGCAAGCUUGAGUCUCGUAGAGGGGGGUAGAAUUCCAGGUGUAGCGGUGAAAUGCGUAGAGAUCUGGAGGAAUACCGGUGGCGAAGGCGGCCCCCUGGACGAAGACUGACGCUCAGGUGCGAAAGCGUGGGGAGCAAACAGGAUUAGAUACCCUGGUAGUCCACGCCGUAAACGAUGUCGACUUGGAGGUUGUGCCCUUGAGGCGUGGCUUCCGGAGCUAACGCGUUAAGUCGACCGCCUGGGGAGUACGGCCGCAAGGUUAAAACUCAAAUGAAUUGACGGGGGCCCGCACAAGCGGUGGAGCAUGUGGUUUAAUUCGAUGCAACGCGAAGAACCUUACCUGGUCUUGACAUCCACGGAAGUUUUCAGAGAUGAGAAUGUGCCUUCGGGAACCGUGAGACAGGUGCUGCAUGGCUGUCGUCAGCUCGUGUUGUGAAAUGUUGGGUUAAGUCCCGCAACGAGCGCAACCCUUAUCCUUUGUUGCCAGCGGUCCGGCCGGGAACUCAAAGGAGACUGCCAGUGAUAAACUGGAGGAAGGUGGGGAUGACGUCAAGUCAUCAUGGCCCUUACGACCAGGGCUACACACGUGCUACAAUGGCGCAUACAAAGAGAAGCGACCUCGCGAGAGCAAGCGGACCUCAUAAAGUGCGUCGUAGUCCGGAUUGGAGUCUGCAACUCGACUCCAUGAAGUCGGAAUCGCUAGUAAUCGUGGAUCAGAAUGCCACGGUGAAUACGUUCCCGGGCCUUGUACACACCGCCCGUCACACCAUGGGAGUGGGUUGCAAAAGAAGUAGGUAGCUUAACCUUCGGGAGGGCGCUUACCACUUUGUGAUUCAUGACUGGGGUGAAGUCGUAACAAGGUAACCGUAGGGGAACCUGCGGUU